UAAAGGCAUGAGAAGUUUAGAAUUCAGGCAGUGAUUCAAAACAAUUUAAUGUAUUUUUUGGAGCUGUUUCUUUGCAAAGCUUCCUCAUUUUUGGUUCUCUUCCUGGAAAAUUCCAGCUUUCUCACCUCUCCAAACUCAUAUCUCGGUCUACUUAUCUCUUGGAGAUGGCCAUUUUCUGACUGGGUUCCUGCUUCCUAUGCCAUAUUCCUGAAAGUGCUCUAGGUAGAAAGUUGAGGUGAUAAUGGGGCUUACUUCAUUUGUAUCCCUUCUCUAAGGAAUUAUAUGUUUUCUACUUGUUGUCCAAAAACUUUUUUAAAAAUAUUUUUUUCUCCAAUUUUUUAUUUGUUUAUGGUAGGAGGGCAUAUCUGGUAUUAGUUAUCCCAUUGAGGAUGGAAGUGGAAGUUCAGAAAAAUAAUUGUCAUUUAUUUGAUUUGCUUGAAGACAAAAGUUUUUACAGUGAUGUUAUAUGCUAGUGGAAAUGAUCUAACUAAGAAGGUAUAUUGGGUGAUGCUUCAGAGAAGGGAUAUUUCAGGAAAAAAUCCUUUGAGAAAGUAAGAAAGGAUGUGUGUAAGUUGAGUAGAGGGGUUGGAUCUACUGUCUCAGUAUUUAAAGUUAGAAUAGUAAAGUAGAAAAUACAAAGCUUUUGUUCUUUAUCUUAGGUAAAAAAUGGAGUUACUUUUUCCUCCAAAAUUAUGUCUUCACAUAUUUAAUCUCUGUAUUCUACUUUGCAUCUAUUUUCUUUGGGGCCUCUCCAUUUCCAGAGAGAUCAAAUAAAAGACGUUUAAGAAAAUUCUACAAGUAAAUGAUGUGUGGAUGAAUUCUGGGUUUUGGUGCUGGUCAACCACUUAUUUUAAGAAAUGAAACAUUUGUGUUCUAUUGCUUUCUAAUUAUGAAAACAAUGCCAUCUUGUGUAAAAAUAGGAUUAAUACCUAUAUAACUGGAUUAGUGUUAGGAUUAAAAUAAAAUAUAAUUAAUAUGCCAACCACAGUUGUCACUGAAAUACUAAAUUUCUUAUUUUCCCUGUCCUAGGUAAUGAAGUUCUUUGAAAAGAUGAAGUAGGAAGACAAUAUUAAAUACCAUGGACUGAAAACCUAUAAUGAAUUUAGUUCUUAUUUUUCCCAACUGCUUCUACUAGAAUUAUUCUCAGAUAAAUUUUCCCAAACUGAGAUCCCUUUACCUCAUUUUCUGCUCUUGGUUUCUUCUGUUGGUGGCUGUAUCUCUUGACCCUGGAAUCCUGCCCACAUAGUGGGUACCACGUGGUGGGCACCCCACAAAUACUAAGCUGGAAUGUCUAUAAAGUCUGUUGAAUACUGGUGCCUGUACAUACCUCCAAGUAUACUAGUAUCCUAUGGAACAAAAUCUACUGAGAACUGUUAUCAUGGAGAAAAACUUGAUUUCAGUUAACUAUCCUGGUUCUUUCCCUCUCUGCUGACACCUUCUGUAUCACAGUAAAUGGGAAACUUGGUUUGUAUAUCUCAGAAACAGUCUGUCAUAAGUUUGGUAGCUAAGCCUUUUAAAGUCACAAUCUGUAUAGGAUUUAUGUGCCAGUGACAUUGAAGGGUUAUGCAUUUCUCUGCUCUGCUAGCCCUUGGUGACAGGGCAACUAUAUUUCCUGUCAUCAGAGCUGCUGUCCUUGGCUCACAUACCCAUGCCAAUGUAUUUAGAUGAGCAGGCUGGGCAUCACUCUUGUGUGUACACAUCAGCUGCAGGAGGCCCAUUCUAGGUGACAGCAGUGUCACUUUGGUACCAUAGCCUCUUUUACACAUGAUCACACUUGCAGAUGGGAAAACCCAAAGCACCUCUGAAUUACUGGGUUGGAGGAAGUGACUGGGGGAAUAGGUGCCAAAUGGACAUCUUGACAUGCAGAGGGGGACAAAAGACCCUCAACGUGAGCACCAUAGAAGCAGAUAAAGCUUGUGCAUCCUGCACAGAUUCUCAAUGUGGCUAGAAUCCAGUUGCACGAAGCAGUAGUAAUUCAGGAACCAGAGAGAGGCAGGUGGGCUUACCCUUGGUGGUGACCCAGCAGAUCAAGACUGACCUUGACUGACCUUUGUCUGUUAGGCAGAGUUAUCACUGUGCUGGGAAGGUGAACUUGCUAUCAAGCCUUGACAGGAGGACUCUGGCUCUUACAUUCCUCACCCAGAACCCACCUUCUGCCACUCAUGUAGGAUGAUAUCCUCAUGUGACCAAAUCAUGCAGAAGGCUGGUAGAGGGGUGGGGGACUUGGAUAGCUUGAUAUGCAUUCAGAUAUUUUAAGAUUUACAUAUGAAAAUGAGAAAAAUCAGUUGAGAGAAAGACAGGGAUUAGAAUGGGUUUGGGAUCAAGAGGUGAGAGCUGAAAGUUGCAGGGAGAAAAAGAGAGUCUUCAAAUUUGUUGUGUAUUAAUGAGAAAGUAGAGAAAUGGGGAAAGAGGAUUUGGGGAAAUAAAUAUAAUUUUUUUUUGGAAAAUGCCAAUCAAACUGGAAUCAUGUUUGUUAGCAACUAUUUUCAAUUCCUGGACUGUGUUUCUUCGAAUGAGUUUUAGUGCCAAGAAUAGGCCAUGUGGACCCUGGUGUACAUUUGGGUUGUGUUUGAAUAGAGUCUAAGUUGUACCUGUAGACUUUUAACUGACUGGUACCUAUAAACUUGUUCCUAGAACAAAUGGCCAUUCAGAAGGAGCCAUUUGCAGGUUUGUCACAACAACUUGCUAUUGGUCACACCACAUGUACAACUUGAUUCCUGAUUCUGCUUGAUUUUGCCAUGUUUCAUAGCUUGGGACUGACAACAUCCACAACAUGCACACUGCUCCUAAGUUGUUCCUCAGAUGAGGUUGGCUCUGGACAAAACCAAAGCAGAUAUAUUCUGUUUAAAUUUUUUUUAAAUGUGCAUUUGUGUGUGUGUGUGUGUAUAUAUUUCUAUGUAUUUAUAUUAUAUACAUUUAUAUUACUAUAUAUUAUAUAUUUAUAUAAUAAUUUAUUAUAUGUUAUAUUAUACGUAUUACAUAUAUAUGUAAUAUAUAUAUUAUAUAUAUAUAAAAUAUAUAUAAUAUAUAUAUUUUGUAGUACUGGGAAUUGAACCCGGAACCUCACGCAUACUAGGCAAGCACUGUACCACUGAACCACAUCCUCAGCCCCAACAUGGCCUCUCUUUUAGCUUCCCUAUUCUGGGUAUUUUUGAAGCAGGACAGAAGAGGCUGGACACCUGAGAAAGUUUCAGGGAGCAGGUUUACUGACUGCAGUGUUCAGAGGUGGUUUCUCCUAAGAAUUUUUCCUGUGAACAAAGAUUUUGGAAAUUCUUUGAACUUUAUACCAGUUGGCCGGGGAGAAGGAUUUAGAGGUUCACAUAACAAGGGCUUUUUUGUUCCAUAUUUUUGUCUCAUUUCACAUGUUUUACCACAAAUCAGGAGUAAAACAUAGCUUUUGUAAGACAGAGCAGAGCAACAGGAAAUAGGGCAUCUAACCACCCUGAGCCCUUUUGCAGAGAUCUUGACUUACAUGACAAGAGGAGAAGCUUAAUUAUGGCAAGGGUCUUUUGGGUGGGUGUACCUGGUCUACUUCACUAUUCUCAUGUGAACACAGCUCCUCAUAAGUGUUCCCAGACAAAUCUGAUAUUCAUAUUUAGGUAUUUAUGACUUGACAUUUUGCCUCUGUGGAAAAAAAAAGGUAUAUUUAAAUGGACUAUCAAGUAAGGGUUAAGGCUUAAAUAAAAUAUUCCAGAUGAUGGAAUUUUAGAAUCUAUACAAAGAAGGUAUUUUGGGGGUAGAAAAGUUGUCUAUGUAGAACUAUUUGAAGACCACACCUCUUGACUUUUGUAUAUCAUAGGUCUGUCCUCAAUUUAACAUCCUUUUUGAGUUGGACAUUCGUCACCAUCCGGUCAGCUAACAACCAUUUCUCCUUUCUAAUGCCUUUCUGAUUUUGUUAGGGCAGGGGAGGCUCUUCCUACACUGGGUAAUUUGCUGUGAUACUAAAUUCAGUUGUCUGCCUCUCACUGAGACCAAAAAAGCCAGAUCCUUGCUCUCAUUAUCUCCAUGUGGCUGGGAGGAAUGCAUGUGCCUUAGUCCUGCGGUGACAGGCUAAGAGGUCAAACCCCAGUUUGACCCAUGAACAAGUGAUGUUGUAACUGGAAACAAGUUAUAGUCCAUUUUCUCAGCCACCUGGUUUCCUUAGUCCCCUGUUCCUACCAGGAUACCAUUCCACUUCUGUGGUUCUGUUUCCUAGACCUACAGAGCUGCUCUUAUGUCUGCUCAUUUCCAAAACUGGUUUUAUAACUUUUCAGUGGAUUCUUUGAACACCCUGGACCUUUUCAUUAAAUACUUUCUUUUGGUAUAUGAUAACAUGAUAAUAAAGCUGGUUAUUAUUGCAACCAAGAAUCCUGGACAGGUAAACUUGGAAAAGACAAAGCUAAAAUAGUGAUUAGUAGUUUCACAAACCCUUGCUACUCAAGAAAAAUGGAAAUGUUAAUCCUGUGUUAUUAAAAAAAAACAUAAAAAUGAUGUCCUCUCUUGCCUCCAAAGUUGGCUUCUGUAAACUAAAGAUCUGAAUAAAGGCAUAUCAUUUCAUCUGAUAUGUAUGUGUGUAUAUUUUAAUUAAAAUUUUCAUUUUGAGGUCAUUAGGGCUUCACAUCCAAGUAUGGAGAAAUAAUAUGGAAAGGUCCUAUGUACCCUUUGCCUAUUUUCUCUAAUUGUAAUACCUUGCAAAACUAUAUGGUAUGGUAUAACAACCAUGAUAUUGACCUGGAUUCAAUCCAUGGAUCUUAUUUGGUUCUCCCUAGCUUUGUAUGCUCUCAUUAUGUUUUACAUGCACAUAUGUGUAUUUCUAUACGGACUACCCUGUGCUAUGAUCCCCU
This 4823-nucleotide long non-coding RNA is filed under the name Marmota monax (woodchuck). The record is from RNAcentral. Lineage: Eukaryota; Metazoa; Chordata; Mammalia; Rodentia; Sciuridae.